Molecule: ribosomal RNA, 442 nt
Filed under: uncultured bacterium
Lineage: Bacteria
Description: partial 16S ribosomal RNA
Rfam family: Bacterial small subunit ribosomal RNA
Source: RNAcentral
CCUACGGGUGGCAGCAGUGGGGGAUAUUGGACAAUGGAGGCAACUCUGAUCCAGCGACGCCGCGUGAGUGAUGAAGUUCUUCGGUUUGUAAAGUUCUUUUCGAAGGGAAGAAGGAAGUGACGGUACCUGAGUAAUAAGCCUCGGCUAACUACGUGCCAGCAGCCGCGGUAAUACGUAGGAGGCAAGCGUUAUCCGGAAUGACUGGGCGUAAAGGGUGCGUAGGCGGAAGUUCAAGUCAGCGGUAAAAUGGAGGGGCGCAACCUCGUCGAGCCGUUGAAACUGGUUUUCUUGAGUGAGGGAGAGGUAGGCGGAAUGCGUGGUGUAGCGGUGAAAUGCAUAGAUAUCACGAAGAACUCCGGUGGCGAAGGCAGCAUGCUGGCGCUCAACUGACGCUGAUGCACGAAAGUGUGGGGAGCGAACAGGAUUAGAUACCCGUGUAGUC